This 468-nucleotide ribosomal RNA is filed under the name uncultured bacterium. RNAcentral's name for it is "partial 16S ribosomal RNA". It matches the Rfam family "Bacterial small subunit ribosomal RNA", at positions 28 to 507 of the family's 1533-position model. The record is from RNAcentral.
GACGAACGCUGGCGGCGUGCUUAACACAUGCAAGUCGAACGGAAAGGCCCUGCUUUUGUGGGGUGCUCGAGUGGCGAACGGGUGAGUAACACGUGAGUAACCUGCCCUUGACUUUGGGAUAACUUCAGGAAACUGGGGCUAAUACCGGAUAGGAGCUCCUGCUGCAUGGUGGGGGUUGGAAAGUUUCGGCGGUUGGGGAUGGACUCGCGGCUUAUCAGCUUGUUGGUGGGGUAGUGGCUUACCAAGGCUUUGACGGGUAGCCGGCCUGAGAGGGUGACCGGCCACAUUGGGACUGAGAUAUGGCCCAGACUCCUACGGGAGGCAGAAGUGGGGAAUAUUGCACAAUGGGCGGAAGCCUGAUGCAGCAACGCCGCGUGCGGGAUGACGGCCUUCGGGUUGUAAACCGCUUUCGCCUGUGACGAAGCGUGAGUGACGGUAAUGGGUAAAGAAGCACCGGCUAACUACGUG